RNAcentral lists this ribosomal RNA (495 nucleotides) under uncultured bacterium. RNAcentral describes it as "partial 16S ribosomal RNA". It matches the Rfam family "Bacterial small subunit ribosomal RNA", at positions 28 to 507 of the family's 1533-position model. The record is from RNAcentral.
GACGAACGCUGGCGGCGUGCCUAAUACAUGCAAGUAGAACGCUGAAGGAGGAGCUUGCUUCUCUGGAUGAGUUGCGAACGGGUGAGUAACGCGUAGGUAACCUGCCUGGUAGCGGGGGAUAACUAUUGGAAACGAUAGCUAAUACCGCAUAAUAGUAGAUGUCGCAUGACAUUUGCUUAAAAGGUGCAAUUGCAUCACUACCAGAUGGACCUGCGUUGUAUUAGCUAGUUGGUGAGGUAACGGCUCACCAAGGCAACGAUACAUAGCCGACCUGAGAGGGGGAUCGGCCACACUGGGACUGAGACACGGCCCAGACUCCUACGGGAGGCAGCAGUAGGGAAUCUUCGGCAAUGGACGGAAGUCUGACCGAGCAACGCCGCGUGAGUGAAGAAGGGUUUCGGAUCGUAAAGCUCUGUUGUAAGAGAAGAACGAGUGUGAGAGUGGAAAGUUCACACUGUGACGGUAGCUUACCAGAAAGAGACGGCUAACUACGUG